AUUUCAUGCCCUUCCCCAUAAAUUCAGCAGGUAAUCAAUAAUGCAUACAGUAUGUCAGCUUGAUUAAUAACAGAAACACCCUGCUAUCAAUACAAGAAUCCAAAAUCAACCUGUGGAGAACUGGAAAUGAUAUUCCUAGCUGUUGAAUUGUACAUUUAAUAAACAACAAUAGUCAUACUAUGGCUGCAGGUGUAUUGCUUUACACUAGUUUUGGACUACACAACCUUCCCUAAGUGAGAGCAACAUGUUACAGCUAUGAAAUCUUUCAGAUCGUAACAAUAUUACAAAAAUCAUUGAUAUCUUGGCCGAAAUGGCUCAUUGAUAUCUUCUGUACAGCCAUUUUUCCCAAAUGCUAGGCUACCAUCCAAAAAUACUCAACCAAGUUAAUACUCAAAAGCUAAUGCCCAAAAAUCUAAUCAAAAUAUCAUGACAAGUCAUGCCUUCCGAUCAUGGCAUGCGCUUCGGCCAUGAAUUCCGCUGGAAACCUCGCAUUCAUAUUCUGGAUCUCAUGCAAACUAUAUCAUUUUUGCAAAGUUGGAUGUCUCUUGACGAAACUAGGAUCCUUGAAAGAGGCAGGCUUAAAGCCACUGUUCUUUGUUAUAUUUUUCUGAAAUUGAUUCAACUGAUGUGUUGUUCUCAAAAGUCCCCACAUUACCUAACGAACCUGUGUCCUUGGCAUUUGUUGGCAAGCCAGCAAGUAUAUCAUUGAUGAUAUGAUUUACUGAUUCCUUCUCUGCCCAAUUCGCUGCUCUGCUGUUAUUAACCAUCUGCUGGAGCAAUUUUUGAAUCAUACAGUCUUGUAUGUUCUGGUUGCUUUCAGAGAACUGGGAAAUCGACAAGGGUAAGUUCUGGGUAAAUUCUGGAUUCAAGAUCUUGGGACCUUGAAAUGGUCGACUGUCGUUAGCCCUCUUGUAUAAACUAGAAGGUUCCCCCAAUUUGCUGACAUUUGAGUUGAUGGAUGUCUGUCUCAGCAAUUUGCAGUAAUCACCAGGAUGUGCCAAUGCUGCCAUUUCAGAGGUAGUCAAAAGUCCAUCCUUGCUCAUGUUUGAGUUAACAUUUUCAUUGUUGCUUUGACCACCGGAAGAAGAUAACAGCUUAGUAGUGUCAGCUGCCAUACCUUGUGAAACAAGCUUCUCCUUUUCUUGAAAUUCAUUUUUCUGGAAUUUGGUUGCAGAAAGUUUUUGGGAGUAAUUCUUCAAGCUCUCAAUUGGUCCAAUUUUAGUCUCCCAGCUGAAAGUCAUUAGGUCUUUCAUGCUAUUGAAAACAUCGGCUAUCUGCAAGCACCGGAUGUAUCUCUUCGAGAACCCCAACUCACCAACCAGCUGGAAAUCCAAAAUUUUUUCAAGCUUGCAUCCAGCUGAUAAUAACAUAUUGCAAUUUUCUUCUAGGACAUGUGGUGAUAUCUUAUCUGAUCCACUGCCUUCAAGGAUUGUUUGAUAUUUUUGUGCAGCAUGAACAAACUCAUUAACCUGUGACGCAAUUAAACUUCGAGGCAACAGUUCUUCGUGGUCACUCGAGCAAAAUUCCCAAGAUAGUAUCUGAAAUACAUGCCAGGUGUAUGAAAUUUUGAAUGCCAGCAUAUUAUAUAUUGUAUGCCAUAUGCGCAAGCUAUUACUCACCUUCAAAUCAAGAGUGAAGACAAUACGAAGUUUGCCCUUACGAACAACACGAAAUUGGUGAAAAACAGUUUCAUGAACUGCCUUACCAUAUUCCAACAUCAUUAACCCAGAAGGGAGUCUGCACUCACAUGGCAGUUCAAGAAAUAAAAGUUCAUCGAUAACACCACUUUCAAACUGUACUUUUUUAAGCCUAGGAAGCACUUCGAAAGUUGCCUCUGCCAUGAAGAGAAAGACAGAAAGAAGUUCAAUGCCACAAGGGGAGAAAAGAAGGUUAAAUAUAACAAUGAGUUUAAAAAUACUAGCCACAAUUCAGCUGACUAAGAAAGGCACAUGGACAGUUAAUUUGCUUACCAAACCCUCUUCCAGAUUUAGAGCUGCAUAACUCACACUGCCAUGUGCCCUGAAAGACAAGAAAGCAACAACUUCAAGCUAUGCAAAUUGAAUGGAGAACCAAUGAAAUAAGAAGCAAAAGAUGCAUAUAAUACAGAAUCAACUCAAAUAGGCAACGUGUGAAAAAGAGAAGAUAUUUAUCAGCAUUUUAAGGUCAUGAUUAACAAUACAAUUGUAUAGAGUAAAACUGGAUUCCAAAUCACUGUUCCUUGGGCCAUUUUUUUUCUGCAUUUAUUCUUUUUUUUCCUACAAAUUUUAUUUUUUUAAUUUGUUCUUUUAACAAGAGUGUCAGUGGACCCAUCAACAGACUCAAUUUGAGAUAUUAAAUCAUAAUAAAAUUUAUUAACCGAAAAGUGAUUUCCUGGCUUUCUUUUUCUAACUAGUCAAAAGCACAUAGACACUUUGUAUAUAGUUCAAACUCUAAACUCUUCAAUUUUAGGAUCGGCAGUAUUCCCUUUUUUUUUUACUUAAAAAAAAAAUUUGUUUACUCCUUUUGCACAAUAGUAUUAACCCAUCCAUCGGUUGAUCCAAUUUAAAAUAUUAAACCAUAAUAAGAUUUAACAAUUGAUAAGUGAUAUUUUGUAUAUUUUCUUUAUUGAGUCAAAAGCACUUAGACACUUUGUAUAGAAUAAACACUUAUAUACUAAAAUUCAAUCCCAUUUCACUGUUCCUAUCAACAGUGUUUUUUAUUUUUCCUCAUUUUUUUAUUUUUUACUUUUUAAAAUUACUUUUUUAGAUUUUUUUUUUCACAAUAUACUAAAAUGAUACCCACAUUUACUGUUCACAAGAUCAAUGCUUUUUUAUUUUUUACUUUUUUUUAAAUUGUUUUCUUUGA
RNAcentral lists this unclassified non-coding RNA (2844 nucleotides) under Hevea brasiliensis (rubber tree). The record is from RNAcentral. Lineage: Eukaryota; Viridiplantae; Streptophyta; Magnoliopsida; Malpighiales; Euphorbiaceae.